Molecule: ribosomal RNA, 447 nt
Filed under: Ardeadoris undaurum
Lineage: Eukaryota; Metazoa; Mollusca; Gastropoda; Nudibranchia; Chromodorididae
Description: partial 16S ribosomal RNA
Rfam family: Bacterial large subunit ribosomal RNA
Source: RNAcentral
AGCCUCAGGGAUAGAUCUGAGGUUAUACCUGCCCAAUGUGUAAAUGAAUGGCCGCGGUACUUUGACCGUGCUAAGGUAGCGCAAUCAAUUGGCUUUUAAUUGAAGUCAGGAAUGAAUGGAGUUUACGGGGUUCGACUGUCUCCUAGCUAAUUAAUCGAAGUUACUAUAUAGGUGAAAAAGCCUAUAAAUAGAAAAAGGACGAGAAGACCCUUAGAGUUUUACUUAACAUAAUAGUGAGUUAAUUAUUGUACUGGUUUUGUUGGGGCAACAUAGGAGCAAUAAGUAAUAAAUCUCCUAAAUUUUGAUAAACCGAUAAUCUUAAAUAUGAAUAAACUACCUUAGGGAUAACAGCAUAAUUUUAUAAAUAAGUUUGUGACCUCGAUGUUGGACUAGGAAACCUAAGGGCUAGUCGUCUUUAGGGAAAGUUCUGUUCGAACUAUUAUUCCU